RNAcentral lists this transfer RNA (74 nucleotides) under bacterium. RNAcentral's name for it is "tRNA-OTHER". The record is from RNAcentral.
GGGCCGGUUUCCUGGAUGGAUAAAAAUAGCUUGUCACUUAUUCUUUGCGGGUUCAAUUCCCGUCCGGUCCACCA